UCAGGUGUGGAGGCGGAGCUUCUGCCUGAAGUGGCUCCUGUGGUUGUCUGGAGACUCGUCGAGGCCAUCGAGAAACACAGUUUAAACAGUGAGUCUCUGUAUCGAUCCCCUCCCGCCUCCGGUGGACCUGCAGAGCUGCGGCAGUGUCUGGACUCAGAUCCGGUUUCAGUGGAUCUGGACCAGUAUGAUGUGGUUUCUCUGACUGAUGCUCUCAGAGGUUUCCUGCAGGAC
Molecule: long non-coding RNA, 231 nt
Organism: Xiphias gladius (swordfish)
Lineage: Eukaryota; Metazoa; Chordata; Actinopteri; Istiophoriformes; Xiphiidae
Exons: 3
Source: RefSeq, a predicted model, not a curated record